CCUACGGGGGGCAGCAGUGAGGAAUAUUGGUCAAUGGACGAGAGUCUGAACCAGCCAAGUAGCGUGAAGGAUGACUGCCCUAUGGGUUGUAAACUUCUUUUAUAAAGGAAUAAAACGAGGCACGUGUGCCUUUUUGCAUGUACUUUAUGAAUAAGGAUCGGCUAACUCCGUGCCAGCAGCCGCGGUAAUACGGAGGAUCCGAGCGUUAUCCGGAUUUAUUGGGUUUAAAGGGAGCGUAGAUGGGUUGUUAAGUCAGUUGUGAAAGUUUGCGGCUCAACCGUAAAAUUGCAAUUGAUACUGGCAGUCGUGAGUACAGUUGAGGUAAGCGGAAUUCGUGGUGUAGUGGUGAAAUGCUUAGAUAUCACGAAGAACCCCGAUUGCGAAGGCAGCUUACUAAACUGUGACUGACAUUGAUGCUCGAAAGUGUGGGUAUCAAACAGGAUUAGAUACCCCAGUAGUC
This 460-nucleotide ribosomal RNA is filed under the name uncultured bacterium. RNAcentral's name for it is "partial 16S ribosomal RNA". It matches the Rfam family "Bacterial small subunit ribosomal RNA", at positions 338 to 795 of the family's 1533-position model. The record is from RNAcentral.